UGUAUGAAACUGUCUUAUUAAAAAGAUGAUUUCUGGACUGGAGAGAUGGCUCAGCCGUUAAAGGCUAGGCUCACAACCAAAAUAAA
Molecule: microRNA precursor, 86 nt
Filed under: Cricetulus griseus (Chinese hamster)
Lineage: Eukaryota; Metazoa; Chordata; Mammalia; Rodentia; Cricetidae
Description: miRNA (ENSCGRG00000021780.1)
Source: RNAcentral